AGACGGUAGACACAGAUCUCUAUGUGAGGAGAAGACAGCGCCCGACUGCUUCCAGGAGAUACCGUGAGGGUCACCGGCCUGAAACAGCUACCCAGCCUGAGACCGACAGUACUUAGAGCAGUUGCUGCUCCAGCUUCCAUGGCGUGUGGUGGCAGCUUGCAGAACUUAGUGGCAUCGCAGCCCUCCUGGAGGAGACCUGGAGUGAAUCAAGGGGUUUGGUGGGGUGGGAUGGGAUUAGGGCAUCUUUAUAGGAGUACCUGGGUGAGGGGAGGAGAAACACUUAGUAUUGCAGUUCUGCUGUGGGUAGGGCAAAAAGCUUUCCCUGUGCUGAGGUCAGGUCAGGUACAUUUGUUGUUUCUUGAGAAUAGACACCCCAUCUUGUUUGUGCAGCUGCAGUCUUAACUUAAUCAAAAAUUCGCUGGCUGGAGACUGCUGCUCCGCAGCAAGCCCUUCCUUGCUCCUCUCAGCAGCCACAGCUUUCCACACAGCUGGUGGGCCUGGCAAGCACCAUUUGACACUGAGAGAAAAAGCCAAUGCCUAAAAAACAGAAGGCAGAAUCUCAAGAAACACCAGAUGAUUUGGCCUGGCCAGUUUUCGAGCACACCACUAAAAUAAGUGCCUGCUUCAGGCACUUUGCAGAAUGCAAAGCUAUUCCACAGUCUGAGAACUGCCGGCACUGACAGCUGCCUGGCAUGAC
Cygnus atratus (black swan) is the source of this 697-nucleotide long non-coding RNA. RefSeq lists it as uncharacterized. The record is from RefSeq and is a predicted model, not a curated record. The transcript has 3 exons. Lineage: Eukaryota; Metazoa; Chordata; Aves; Anseriformes; Anatidae.